This 377-nucleotide ribosomal RNA is filed under the name uncultured bacterium. RNAcentral's name for it is "bacterial SSU rRNA". It matches the Rfam family "Bacterial small subunit ribosomal RNA", at positions 521 to 896 of the family's 1533-position model. The record is from RNAcentral.
UAAUACAGAGGGGGCAAGCGUUAUUCGGAAUUAUUGGGCGUAAAGGGCGCGUAGGCGGCUUGAUAAGUCAAAGGUGAAAUCCCUCGGCUCAACCGAGGACCUGCCUUUGAUACUGUCUCGCUUGAGGCCGGGAGAGGGUAGCGGAAUUCCCAGUGUAGCGGUGAAAUGCGUAGAUAUUGGGAGGAACACCAGUGGCGAAGGCGGCUACCUGGACCGGUUCUGACGCUGAGGCGCGAAAGCGUGGGGAGCAAACAGGAUUAGAUACCCUGGUAGUCCACGCUGUAAACGAUGGGUACUCGGUGCUGCGGGUAUCGACCCCUGCGGUGCCUUAGCUAACGCGUUAAGUACCCCGCCUGGGGAGUACGGUCGCAAGGCUG